CCUACGGGGGGCAGCAGUGAGGAAUAUUGGUCAAUGGGCGAGAGCCUGAACCAGCCAAGUCGCGUGAGGGAGUACUGCCCUAUGGGUUGUAAACCUCUUUUGUCGGGGAGCAAAAUCCGGACGUGUCCGGCUGUUAGAUUACCCGAAGAAAAAGCAUCGGCUAACUCCGUGCCAGCAGCCGCGGUAAUACGGGGGAUGCGAGCGUUAUCCGGAUUUAUUGGGUUUAAAGGGUGCGCAGGCGGAUUUUUAAGUCAGCGGUCAAAUCGUGGGGCUCAACCCCAUCCAGCCGUUGAAACUGGGGAUCUAGAGUGUGCGAGAGGUAGGCGGAAUGCGUGGUGUAGCGGUGAAAUGCAUAGAUAUCACGCAGAACCCCGAUUGCGAAGGCAGCAUACCGGUGCACAACUGACGCUCAGGCACGAAAGCGUGGGUAUCGAACAGGAUUAGAUACCCCAGUAGUC
Molecule: ribosomal RNA, 458 nt
Filed under: uncultured bacterium
Lineage: Bacteria
Description: partial 16S ribosomal RNA
Rfam family: Bacterial small subunit ribosomal RNA
Source: RNAcentral